AGUGAACGCUGGCGGUAGGCCUAACACAUGCAAGUCGAACGGCAGCACAGUAAGAGCUUGCUCUUACGGGUGGCGAGUGGCGGACGGGUGAGGAAUACAUCGGAAUCUACUUUUUCGUGGGGGAUAACGUAGGGAAACUUACGCUAAUACCGCAUACGACCUACGGGUGAAAGCAGGGGAUCUUCGGACCUUGCGCGAUUGAAUGAGCCGAUGUCGGAUUAGCUAGUUGGCGGGGUAAAGGCCCACCAAGGCGACGAUCCGUAGCUGGUCUGAGAGGAUGAUCAGCCACACUGGAACUGAGACACGGUCCAGACUCUUACGGGAGGCAGCAGUGGGGAAUAUUGGACAAUGGGCGCAAGCCUGAUCCAGCCAUACCGCGUGGGUGAAGAAGGCCUUCGGGUUGUAAAGCCCUUUUGUUGGGAAAGAAAAGCAGCAGGUUAAUACCCCGCUGUUCUGACGGUACCAAAAGAAUAAGCACCGGCUAGCUUCGU
This 491-nucleotide ribosomal RNA is filed under the name uncultured bacterium. RNAcentral's name for it is "partial 16S ribosomal RNA". It matches the Rfam family "Bacterial small subunit ribosomal RNA", at positions 29 to 506 of the family's 1533-position model. The record is from RNAcentral.